GAUGAACGCUGGCGGCGUGCCUAAUACAUGCGAGUCGAGCGAACGGACGAGAAGCUUGCUUCUCUGAUGUUAGCGGCGGACGGGUGAGUAACACGUGGAUAACCUACCUAUAAGACUGGGAUAACUUCGGGAAACCGGAGCUAAUACCGGAUAAUAUUUUGAACCGCAUGGUUCAAAAGUGAAAGACGGUCUUGCUGUCACUUAUAGAUGGAUCCGCGCUGCAUUAGCUAGUUGGUAAGGUAACGGCUUACCAAGGCAACGAUGCAUAGCCGACCUGAGAGGGUGAUCGGCCACACUGGAACUGAGACACGGUCCAGACUCCUACGGGAGGCAGCAGUAGGGAAUCUUCCGCAAUGGGCGAAAGCUUGACGGAGCAACGCCGCGUGAGUGAUGAAGGUCUUCGGAUCGUAAAACUCUGUUAUUAGGGAAGAACAUAUGUGUAAGUAACUGUGCACAUCUUGACGGUACCUAAUCAGAAAGCCACGGCUAACUACGUG
Molecule: ribosomal RNA, 497 nt
Filed under: uncultured bacterium
Lineage: Bacteria
Description: partial 16S ribosomal RNA
Rfam family: Bacterial small subunit ribosomal RNA
Source: RNAcentral